ACGGUACACUCCUACGGGAGGCAGCAGUGGGGAAUUUUGGACAAUGGGCGAAAGCCUGAUCCAGCAAUGCCGCGUGUGUGAAGAAGGCCUUCGGGUUGUAAAGCACUUUUGUCCGGAAAGAAAUCCUUGGCUCUAAUACAGUCGGGGGAUGACGGUACCGGAAGAAUAAGCACCGGCUAACUACGUGCCAGCAGCCGCGGUAAUACGUAGGGUGCGAGCGUUAAUCGGAAUUACUGGGCGUAAAGCGUGCGCAGGCGGUUUGCUAAGACCGAUGUGAAAUCCCCGGGCUCAACCUGGGAACUGCAUUGGUGACUGGCAGGCUAGAGUAUGGCAGAGGGGGGUAGAAUUCCACGUGUAGCAGUGAAAUGCGUAGAGAUGUGGAGGAAUACCGAUGGCGAAGGCAGCCCCCUGGGCCAAUACUGACGCUCAUGCACGAAAGCGUGGGGAGCAAACAGGAUUAGAUACCCUGGUAGUCCCA
This 478-nucleotide ribosomal RNA is filed under the name uncultured organism. RNAcentral describes it as "partial 16S ribosomal RNA". It matches the Rfam family "Bacterial small subunit ribosomal RNA", at positions 326 to 797 of the family's 1533-position model. The record is from RNAcentral.